This is a non-coding RNA of Cyclopterus lumpus (lumpfish), 2682 nucleotides long. NCBI's taxonomy places the organism in Eukaryota, Metazoa, Chordata, Actinopteri, Perciformes, Cyclopteridae. The record is from the annotation of a RefSeq genome assembly.
AGCUGCACUUUGUUAGCGUUGUAUAGUGUCUUAAUGUAUGUAACACAACAUGGACUCCAAAAUGCCAGUCAGGAUGAUUGUGAAUAUUGUUAGUAGUGAAAAAUAAAGCCUGCUUUAAAAAUAUACACAUUAUCAUGAAAAAAAGAACAAACUAACAUUGCUUCCUUUGUUUAUAUUUAUUCACCUUUUAAUUAUGCAGAAAUUACCUAAGGAUAUUUAUUCUGAAUUUAAUUAACAUUGUUAUAUUUUCUUUGACUAAAUAAAGGUGUGUGUGCGAUCCAUGAUGAAAUUUAAAAAAUAAAAAAUAUAUAUAUAUUCAUCUCUUAACAAAAAAGUGAUUCCAAGAAAUAUAUAUAUAUAUAUAUAUUGUGAUGCUUAUCAAGAUAAUAUUGUGAUUAUUCUGGACAUUACAUUUUAAUAUUGCCUCAGGCCUACUCUGUACUAACUGAAUAUGUUUCCUGACAUUUGUAUUUAAAUUGAGUUGUAUCCUAAUCAUUUUCUCGUUGGUUUAACACUGUGAUAAAUUCUACAUUAAUUCAUUUUUAAUUCCAAUAAACAUUCAAACCUAUACCUACAAUUUGGCUAGAAAUGGAGAGUGAUGGAAAAGCUCAAUGUUAAAAAUAAAAAUAAGUUAAUUCUUGACAAUGGAAACCUUGAAAAGAAUGAUCUUAACUCGAGGUCCACUAACUGGACCCUCGUGCAUUACCAAAGACCACAGGCUCCAGAAACAGCUAGUGAGUAACCUUGAGUUAAGAUUAUUAAGUCAAACGUUAAGUCAUCCUUUCUUAUUACUAAUUUGCGUUAAAACAUUAUCAAAUGUGUAUUUAAAACAGUUCUUAAGAAUGCAACUGUUACAAUCCAACACAAUAAUCAUCAAAGAUGUCUAAUGAACCCUGUUAAUGGUGACGUUUUUAAAUGCAGGGGUCCUACGGGCGAAUAUUUGUUAUAUUUUUGAAUUAUUACCAACAUUUCACUUCAUACAUACUGUGAAUAUACAUUAUUUAUGUUUUGUUCAUGUGAUCAGACAACACUGACUUUAAUAAAUCGAUUAAUGUAUUAAAAACAACAGAUUGUAAUUCAUAUUAUAUGUAAAGUGAACACAUUGAUCGUCAGGACAGAAAUAACAUUCUCAUAUAAUAAAAUACAUAAACAUGUACUGCUUCCUCCCACUAAAGCCAAACUCCUGCUGUACUUCCAACACUAACAAUGAUGUAUCGUCAGCUUCAGGGUUCAUUUCAGGUCUUUGUUGUCUAGCUUCCUGUCACAAGGUGGCAUUACAGCGUGUCUGUGGUGUGUGUUGGGUGGUGCAAUAUAACACCACCCAACAAAAAAACAUGUUUCCUGAUGGGAGGGUCUACAGCAAUAUUUAGUAAUAACUGUGAUAAUACAGUGAUAAAAACACAAUAACAAGGAUGUUGAGUCAUAAAACACAACAACAGGGUGACCACUGUCUUCUGCUUAGCCCUUAAUGUCAUAAUGGUGCCAGGCUCUUCUCUCAGUGAGCAAGUACACCAGACUCCAGCUGACAUGUACAACAAACCUGAAGAAAAAGCCACAAUAAGCUGCUCACACAGCAUUCAGAACUACAAUCAAAUCCUCUGGUACAAACAAUCGAGGGAUGAAAAACUGCAGUUCCUGGGAUACAUGUAUAUAACCUCCACAUACCCAGAGGCUGGACUGGAUGUGAAGAUGGACGGGAGUGCAGAAAAAGACCAAACCUGCACAUUAACAGUUGAAGGACUCAGCCUGAAGAGCAGUGCAGUGUACUUCUGUGCUGCUAGUUUACACAGUGCUUCACUUCACUGCUCCUCGGUGGCAGUACAUCUGACUGGUGUUGGAGUUGACAUGAAAUCAGAGAUGAACUGCAGCCACAACAAGGAUGACGGUCUCAACCACAUGUUCUGGUACAGACAGCGUCCUGGGAGACCAUGACCCUCGUGGUGUACACAGUUUUUGGUGGACUAUGGGGGGCUGUGAAAGACUUGCAGCUCGAGGACAGCGGUGUGUAUUUCUGAGCAAACACAGUGAUGUGAGAAGUAAGAUGUACAGUAGGUGGAGCUGGAGCUGCAGAAACACUCAACACUGACAUUUAAUGGAGCUGGUUGACAGAGGAGGGCCUUGAUAAAAGAGUCUAGUAAACUGUAAGUCAGGUGUUCUGUGUUCAUUCAGACUGGAGGUCAACAUGCCAACAUUAUUCUACUUAUCUUGGAUCAUUCAUGAAGGAAUUAUCAUUGUAUCCAUAGUUUCCACACGGUUUACUCAUUCUCUGCUGCUCUUGGUUUGAUGCCGUCGUCUCUGCCAGUGAUGCUGUUUCAUCUGCACUUUCAGACCUCAGGAGAGGAAUCAGUUGGAUCUGCGUUGCUCACAGUGACUUUAAUCUGAAUGUCAGCAACUUAAACUUCCAAAACUUUAUGAUAACUACUUUUACUAUUUAAAGGCUUUUUAGUAACCGCUUUAUUUUGAGGAAGUCCAAAUGAUCCAUUUUCUUUUUUUAUGUUGCCUAGCAGGUAAAACUAGUUAAAAUACAAUUGGCUAUUAUGAAGGUGAAAAGGGCUUAAUUUACAUGUUUAACCUGUAGCGAUGCACUAUUUAAUUUCUCCGUCCAGGUGGUUGUCUGGGUCUCGAUGUCCGUCAGUCUCCCUCUGAUCUCAUCUCAAAGCCUGGGGUCAAAGUGCAGAUGUU